UGGCAGACGGGUGAGUAACGCGUGGGAAUCUACCCUUCUCUACGGAAUAGCUCCGGGAAACUGGAAUUAAUACCGUAUACGUCCUUAGGGAGAAAGAUUUAUCGGGGAAGGAUGAGCCCGCGUUGGAUUAGCUAGUUGGUGGGGUAAAGGCCUACCAAGGCGACGAUCCAUAGCUGGUCUGAGAGGAUGACCAGCCACAUUGGGACUGAGACACGGCCCAAACUCCUACGGGAGGCAGCAGUGGGGAAUAUUGGACAAUGGGCGCAAGCCUGAUCCAGCCAUGCCGCGUGAGUGAUGAAGGUCUUAGGAUUGUAAAGCUCUUUCAGUGGGGACGAUAAUGACGGUACCCACAGAAGAAGCCCCGGCUAACUUCGUGCCAGCAGCCGCGGUAAUACGAAGGGGGCUAGCGUUGUUCGGAAUUACUGGGCGUAAAGCGCACGUAGGCGGAUAUUUAAGUCGGGGGUGAAAUCCCGGGGCUCAACCCCGGAACUGCCUUCGAUAC
RNAcentral lists this ribosomal RNA (502 nucleotides) under uncultured Aurantimonas sp. Its description in RNAcentral is "bacterial SSU rRNA". It matches the Rfam family "Bacterial small subunit ribosomal RNA", at positions 96 to 633 of the family's 1533-position model. Lineage: Bacteria; Pseudomonadati; Pseudomonadota; Alphaproteobacteria; Hyphomicrobiales; Aurantimonadaceae. The record is from RNAcentral.